GGUCCCACCACAUGAACCGCCAACUCUAUCGCUGUUUCGCCUCCACCAGCACCAUGUUCCUGUGGGCCCUCUUCUUAAUCGCCCUCACCGCUUCCUAUCUCAGCUUCCAAGGCUUCGUCGAUUCCGGCAGCCGCUACCUCACCGCCUCCUGGGGCGGGAUCCAGUGGGAGAAGCAGGUCCGCACCUCCGCCCAGAUCCACCGUCAAGGCGGCAUGUCCGUCCUCGUCACCGGCGCAGCCGGCUUCGUCGGCUCCCACGUCUCCCUCGCCUUAAAACGACGCGGAGACGGCGUCGUCGGACUCGACAACUUCAACGACUACUACGAUCCGUCCCUCAAAAAAGCCCGCAAGUCCCUCCUCGCCACGCACGACGUCUUCAUCGUCGAAGGCGAUGUCAACGACGCGAAACUCUUGGCGAAGCUCUUCGAUGUGGUUGCUUUCACUCACGUGAUGCACCUCGCGGCGCAGGCUGGGGUUCGCUACGCCAUGGAGAAUCCCCACUCGUACGUCCACAGCAACAUCGCGGGCCUCGUCACGCUUCUCGAGGCCUGCAAAACCGCGAACCCUCAGCCCGCUAUCGUCUGGGCCUCGUCCAGCUCCGUCUACGGGCUCAACGAGAAGGUUCCCUUUUCCGAAUCGGACCAGACCGACCAGCCCGCUAGUCUCUACGCCGCAACGAAAAAGGCCGGUGAGGAAAUCACUCACACCUACAAUCACAUCUACGGUUUAUCCAUCACCGGUUUGAGAUUCUUCACCGUGUACGGACCCUGGGGGAGACCCGACAUGGCUUAUUUCUCUUUCACCAGGAACAUCUUACAAGGGAAACCUAUUACCGUUUACCGCGGUAAAAACCAUGUCGACCUGGCUAGGGAUUUCACCUACAUUGAUGAUAUUGUGAAGGGUUGCGUCGGGUCGUUGGAUACUUCGGCUAAGAGUACCGGGUCGGGUGGGAAGAAGCGUGGACCCGCUCCGUAUAGAAUAUUUAACCUGGGGAAUACUUCGCCGGUUACUGUUCCUACUCUUGUGAGUAUAUUGGAGCGGCAUUUGAAGGUGAAGGCGAAGAGGAAUAUUGUGGACAUGCCUGGAAACGGUGACGUUCCGUUUACUCACGCGAAUAUUAGUUCGGCCCGGAGAGAGCUCGGGUACAAGCCCACGACCGAUUUGCAAACCGGGUUGAAGAAGUUCGUCAAGUGGUAUCUUUCCUAUUACGGCUACAAUCACGGCAAACCUGUAAAUUAAUAAAUUUUGUUUUGUUUCCUUUUUAUUCGGGAAGGGUUUUCUUUUUCUUUUUCUUUUUUAGUGUGGUAGGUUUUAAGUCACAGAUAGAAAAAAAGAAGAAGAAAGAACCUGGUCAAGAAGAAGAAGGGAAACUGGAUUAAAAGGAAGAAAGAAAAGAGGGGGAAAAAAAGAGAAAAGAAAAGAAAAGAAGAGAAGGAGAAGAUUUACAUUCUUUACUUGGGAGGCCAGCUAAAACAGCUGUUGUUCCUUCGUUGAUUUCUUUUCUUUUUUGGUAUUAAUUGGUGUUUUUUGUAUUUUAUUUUUUACAUUUUCUUAUUCUGUAAAGAAAGAAAGUUCGAGUUCAACCUCGAUUUAUUUAGUUGUUGUUUAUAUUUAAAUUUAAAUGUUUACUUUGUCCUAAAGUUGAUUAGAGCGAGAAAUGCGUUGCACCGUAAUUUUCGUUUGGUUUGUUGGUUCGUCCGUCAAUCAUCGCUCCCUUGUGAAGUGUUUAACCAUUGAACUCUUACAUUUAGUCAAUCCAAUAGGCAUAAGGAGGAUAAGUAUAAGUUUUGUUUUACAUUUUUAGACAUUGAAUAUAGAGUGAGAAGAUUUGCAAGAAAUAUAAGCGAACAAUUUGUUAGGGAUAAAAGUUCAGGAUAGUUUUUGGUAUAUAAUGAAAGUAUUUUAUUUGUUAAUUAAUUACUUAUCGAAUAAAAUAUGGUGAAUUUGGAGGAGGGGAUUUGAUAGGUGGAGACAGCAAGGAUGACAGGAGCAAUUGGAGAAGUACGGUAGGAUGUGGGAGUGUGGCCGUUGGAUUUGGAGGAAUUAGAUUGGUAUAUUUGUCCAGCUGUAAAGUACUUACGUAGUAGCAAGUGCAGUGGCGGUGGGUUCAGCAGCUUGCCGACACUCACUCGGGUCACCAAAAGAGGCAUGCUGGAUGGAUGGAUGGUGUAAUUUUUUUCUUUUAGAUUUAUAGGUGGAUAGUUCAUCGUUUUCGUUUUUGAAAUAUCACAUAUCAAUCUAAUUUUUAAUAUGAUAAUAUUCAGAGACUAAUAUUUAAUAGAUUGCAUAAUACUAGUAGUAUAAUUUAUAUUUAGGAUUAUUUUGUAUAAUUGAUCAUUUUUUCCUUUAGGCGGACGUGGAUGUGAACAUUAUUAAAGGUCUGGGCUUUUCUAGUGGGUCCGUUUGCAUUGUUGUUGGUCUGGAUGUGAGUGUGAUCCGGUUUUCUUAAAUUCCGGAAAACUUUAUUCUUCUAACAUUUUUAUCAGUUUUUUUUUUAUCAUAUUAUAUAUUUAUUAUAUCUAUAUAUUUCCCUCUAUUCUCUUUUUACCUGUCUAUGUAUCAUAAAAUAAUUAUGAUGGGGGAAAAUGGAAUCCAAUAACAAAUAAGGUUUGUCCGUGUUGUGCGAAUUUGCUUCAAAUGGGCCCCUUAGCCUCUAGAGGCAGAGAUUUAUUUGCGUGUUAAUCAUUGCAGGUUUUGGUGUUUGGAGUGUAUCUUUUCUAAAAUGGCAUGCUAAAGGCUAAAGCAACGGCUUAAUCUAAUUCAUUUGUUCUAGAUUAACAUAAUACAACGUCACAUCCACCGACAUGCUGUAUGGGCCCAAUUAGCAUGUGAGUUGGUGUGUCAAUGACCUUAAAUAAAUAAAAUAAAUCUAUACAUUAAUUUUUUUAUUGAUGUAUUUUUUUUUACUAGUCUAUUAAUGUAUCCUUACUAUCUUAUAAAAAAAUAAAUGCAUCCUUUAAAAAAAUGUGUUAAUGCUUUAAAUUUUAUAAAUAUUUAAUAUCUAAGAAGAUUUUGAAUGACAUUUAUAAUUAAUUGUUUAUCAAUUAGCUAAAACCAACAACGCAGUUUGCUUCAUGAUUUUUUAUGAAAUGAAAUUAUGAAAAACAAAAACUUUAAAUAUGGGAGCUUUGGGAUGUUGUUAUCACUUACCAAAAUUAAGCAGCUUGUGCAGUUUAGCGAGUUAUUGAUAGCUCUUAAAUAGUAGUAGCUGCAUAUCUUAGAGAUGUGCGUUCAAUAAAAAGGACUCUUAAUUUACCGACUGAGACUAUGUGUAGGCCAGCUUGGAUUGAUUGACUAGCAUGAGCGGUGGUUGGUUGAAACUAUAAACUUUUUGCUUGGAUAAGAAUGUGAAGGGACAAAAUAGUGAAUCAACUUUAUUUAUUUUUUCCAUGGAAAGAGACAGAGAGGUGUUAUAUGAUACUGUGUUCUAAAAUUAUCUCAAAUCACAUGGAGAUUGUUCUUGCUCGGAAUCGGAUUUUAAGUUUUGCAAACGUAGAGGAUGAGUGCAAUGUCUAAGAAUGAAUUGAGUACCUAUUCCCCUAAUCAUAAAAUCUCAAUCAUUCAAGAGCUGAGGUCACGAAUUGAUUAUAAAUAUCAUUUAUUUUUAAUUUACUGAGACAUUGUUUUAUUAAAGAUAAAAUUGUGACGAUAUAUUAUACAUCUAAAUGAAUAAUGUCUCAGAUAUGAGAAUUCUAAUGAUAUUUGUAAACUGUGACACUCAACCAAACACUUAAGCGGAUAAUAUUUUGGAUACAAAAACCCUAGUAAUAUCUACGAAUUUGUGAUUGGGAGACUUAUUUUGAUAAUCAUAAAGUCCCACAUCGUUUGUAAGCAUGCUUUCAUCUCAACCCAUUGAGAUGUUUUUUUACAAGGAUAGAAUUAUAACGGUUAACAACUACUUAUACGAACAAUACCUUAAAUAUAGAGACCUUAACAAUACCUACAAAUUUGAGAUCUAAGCUCAAAUGGUCUAACUCUUAGUCAACAUUAGUUUACUAUUAUAUGAAAAUUAUUGGAAACGCUCUUAGUCAACAUUGGUUUAUUGUUGUGUACCAAAAUGCUAAAUACCUAAACAGACAAUAUCUCAUAUACAUAUUUAACAUAAUCUUUUUAGUAAUGGACCAGGUGAAAGAAAUCUUGCAAUGGAAGUGACAAAAAUUAAUGUAAUUUAAUGAGUUAAUAUGUGUUUGGAGAACCUCCAAAAUCAUGAUAAAUUAUGGUGAGGUGGGUCAACUUUAAUUUUGACCAAGUUUUACAUGUUUGGAUUGUUUUCAAAAUCAUGGUCAAAUCAAUUAUGUUGCCCAAAAAUCAUUGUGGAAUUGAAGCAAGUAGAAGUAGUUUCUACUUAUAUCAAAAUUAAUUCUACAUUAAUCAUUUAUAUAAAUUAAUUUCAUUAAAAAUCAAAAUUUCCAUCACUAAUUUAAACACACACAAAAUGAAUCUUGUUUCAUAAUUAAUGGAUUUCGCAUACAACAAAAAAUUAUUUUUUUAUUUAUAAGAAUUGAACAUAAUAUAAAAAAAUUUACAUCACUUAUAUCUUAUUCAACCAAUUAAGAUAGACUCCCUUCAUACAUAUAACAAUAAAUUAAUGUUCUAAGAACAUCUACAGUAAUUUUCAUACACGUAACCCAAACUAUGCUACUUCAAUCUAAAACAAUUUAAUUAAUAUUUCUCCAUUGAGAGUUUUUAUAGUAACAAGUUACUCAACUCACAAAUCUCUCCUACAUUUAAUAUAAAGUCGAGUAAUUCCCUAAUAAUAAUUACUCAUAUAAGCAAUAAAAUAAUACCUGAUCACUUAAUGGAUUUUGAAUUCUUAACUGAUGAUAAAUAAUAAAAUAGAAAAAAAUAAAAGUUAAAUAAUAAAAUUAAAAUUGAUGUAUAAAAACAUAUUUAAACUUAUUUUAAAAUGUUUUUCAUCAAAUAUAAAAUAAAGGUUAUAUAUACACUUAUUGUCUCUUAGCAGCAUAGUAGAUACCCUCAUACCCCACAGUUCUGCUUUAAGAACCGAACAUCCCUUCAUCAUAGCACCAUAGCCACAAAUAAACAUACCUGUAUUGUCUCUUAGCACCCCAUCACAGGCCGCCAGUCUAUGACUGUGUUUAUGUCACUAUGUCAGUGAGCAAGAUUUUUCGAUCCUCAUAAAUGCUUAUCUAACUAAACCAUUACAAAUUCGUUACAAAUAUAAUUAAUUAAUCCUAUUACUGUUUCUUGACAUGCUAAGCACAGACUUAGCUCUUUGUGAAGCAAUUAUGAAGCAAUUAUAAUAUACUCACAAACCUAUUUCUUUCAUGCACUAUAUUUGACUUUGAACAUGCGAGUUUCUUUAUGGAUACACCACUUUUAUCACGUUGUCAUCUCCAUAAUCAUUAAAUAAUAAUAAAGGAUAAACGUUUCCUGAAAUGAAGUUUUGCUUUAACUUGCAAUCUACAUUUUAACAACUUCAGGGGAUUCCAUAAAAAAAACUUUCUCUAAAAAAACAAACAAACAAACAAAAAACUUCAGGGGAUUAUAAUUUAAAUAGGGUAAAUGAAACCAGAAAAAACAGUUUCCCUUUUUUCCGUGGUUAUAUAUAUAUUUACUUAUAUAUUUCAUGUUAUGUUUGCUUGAACAUAAUUAAAAAAAGAAAGAAACUGAAAAUGUUUAAUUACUUUUUUCCUCAUGUUUGAAUAUAAUAAGAAAAAUAGAAAGAGAGGAGGAAAAAAAAAGUCUCGUGAAUCUUACAUAAAAAUAUUUUUUUUUUCUUUUCAUCUAUAAAAUAGGAGUUCUCUACAAAAAAAAGGAGAGAGAACCAAAAUUGUAUAAAAUAACAAACUAAUCCAUUUUUUACCUAUUAUUAAAUUUUUAUAUUAAUAUAUUCUGUUAAAAUUAGAAAAAGUUUAAUUACUUUGCGGGUCAAGAGUUUUAUAAAUUUUUAAUUAGAUUUAAAAAUUUGUAUUGGUUUUCUGAUUAGAUUGAUGCAUUAGGACCUAAUUAAAAAAUAAAUAUAAAUUUAGAGAUCUAAUUAAAAAAUAUAUAGAAAAUUAAUUAAAAAUGAUCAAAUCCGGUUUAUUUGAAGAAAAAGAUCUUAAUCCCGAUUAUUUUAAAGUUGGAUCGAAAGCAUACUUUUCAUUAAAUUUGAUCGAGAAUUAUUUAUAAAAAAAGAUAAAAGUCGAAUAAUAUCGAUCAAAUCAUUAUAUUUUAAAAUGUUUUUGAUUUAAUUUUACCGUUGAUUUUAAAAUUAAUGGUCCUGAAAAUUUCCUCCCUAAUUGGGCGUUUCACAUCUCCGCAUCCUUUUACUACCACCAAGUGUGAAGUUUCCACAAAAUCUGGAGAGACAAGAGAAGUGAAUCCAAAGGAAUUAAUUAAUUGUUAGUGGAAUGCGAUUCACUCUUCUUUCCCGUGCGCCUGCUCCUUUUCUUUCUACCGCCUUCCUUAAAUUCAAAUUCGUUGCACCUUCCGCAGCGACUUUCACUAGGGUUUCUCGCAUGGCCGCUUCACCUUCUUCCGCGGCGCUUCGCGACGGCGCUCCUUUCGCUUCCUCCGCCAUUGAUUUCCUCUCUAUCUGCCACCGCCUCAAGGUGCUUCUUAGUAAACUAGCUUUCUAUUCUGUAGUAAUGUACUUCUUCGUUUAUCAGAAGUGCCGCAGAAAUUAAAGAGAUAACGGUUGUUUAUUUUUGGUUGCUAAAAUUCUCAGUACGUGUUAAUCUAAGCUUGGUUUAAGUUUUAUUUGAUUGGCUUUAUGUGACUUCAAUAAAAGCUCGAUUGCUCAAGUGCUGUUUGUUUGUUUUUUUUUUAUUUUUUUUGCUUUGCCUGCUUUUAAUUUGUUGUGCCCUAACUUGUUUGGAUUUUGUGUGGUAUUUGAAACAGACAACAAAGCGAACAGGUUGGGUGCGAAAAGAUGUUAAGAAUCCAGAAUCUAUAGCCGAUCAUAUGUAUCGAAUGAGUUUGAUGGCUCUGGUUGCAUCAGAUGUCCCCGGUGUAGACCGAAACAAGUUAAUCCACCUUCCUUUUUCCUCAGCUGUAUAUAUGUUUAUUAAUGACUUUCUUUUGGCAAUGCACCUUUUAACCUUAGGAUGGGAGGUAGGUUUUCUGAAACUUUUUUUUUUUCUUUCAGGUGCAUUAAAAUGGCUAUUGUUCAUGACAUUGCAGAGGGUAUGCUAAUGCUUGCUUUGUGUUAUUUGUCUGUGCCUGGUAAAAGUGGUUCUGCAUGCCUAAACUAUUGUUUAUGAAUAAUGAUAUAAUAUAGUGGACAAGUUUGGCUGAAUUCAGCUGGAAAGUAAUAAUCUGGUGAAAUGCAAAUAAACCGAAACAAUGGAUGAGACUGAGUGAAUGCAUGGGCCAGGUUACGUUUGAAUUUUGAAAAUAGAUUAGUUACGAAUACCAUAGUGUUGCAGGUGGAAACCCUGACAGCAAUAAGUUUUUAUGAUGCAAUUUGAUUAUUGAUCUGGAAACUAACACAUACACAUAGAUUUCUCCCCAGCAUUCUGCUGUUUUCAUGUUACACGCGAUGAUAACUUGAUAAAAGACUGGAAGUUCACAUGAGUGAAUUUGAAUUUCAUAAUGCCAGCUGGUUGAUUUGAUGCAUGCAAAUUCACAAUGUGUUUGUAACCCCUAUUUUGGUUUUAUUAAAGGAGAUUUUGGGUUUUCAAGUUAUUAGGAGCUUGAACACAAGAGUACAAUAUCAUCUAUAUCUCAUGCUCUCUUCAAAGUUCUGAUCUACAAUUUCAUUUGUUCACUUUGGUGCUUUCUUUAAUAGCAAUUGUUGGGGACAUAACUCCAUUGGAUGGAGUUUCUAAAGCAGAAAAGAAUCAACGAGAACAGGCAGCACUAGAUCAUAUGUGUAAAGUACUUGGAGGAGGAUCUACAGGUACUUUUUUUUCACUCUGUACAUGAGUUUGUUAAUGAGAUAAUAAUGAAAACUCACAACUCUUGGUUUUUAAUUGAAUUGUCAUAUUGAAGCAAUGGAAAUAGCAGAGUUGUGGAUGGAGUAUGAAGCAAAUUCUUCCCCAGAAGCUAAAUUUGUCAAGGACCUUGACAAGGUUUGUGGCUUUUUUGCUAUUGUCUUUCAAUGAGUCACAUUUGAGCCAUACCUUUUGACUUGUGUGUGUUUGGUACAAUACCCUGCUAUGGCCUAGGGAGGCUGCAUCAUUAGAUGGGUAAUUGUGCCUAACGGAUUAAGAGGUCCCCACUAGGGGGAUGGGGGGCAGAGAGUGAGGUAGAGAAACUAGGGUAAUGUGAAAGGGCUGUUCCAUUAGGAGGGAGUAUUGAACCUUUUCCCGAGAACUUGCAAUGUCCCAACCAAGUGAGCUAGCCUCAGGUUUUUGACUGAUAAUAAUUAGGUAUUGUGAUUCAUGAAUUAUGGACUUUCGUUUUAGAUUUUCGUGAUAUAUUUCCUUGUCUGUUUCAGCUUCUUUAAAAACUGUAUACUGGUUUAUACAGAUUAAUUUAUCUGUUUCAUUAAAAGGGAGAAGAUGCUAGUGUGAUGAUGCUGUUCAACUAUUGUUUUCCUUUGCUUUGAAUCUUUUCACCGCCAUUUUUAAUUUAAAUCUAAUUAUGUAAUGUACUUUUCUUUUUCCCUAAGGGGUUGGGAUAAAUUGCAUUUGGGCCUUCCUGGAUUUAACUUAUGGUUAAAAGGAAGAAACAAAAAUAAUAAGUAGCUCAUUUAUUGUUAAUAUUCUGUCUGGCAGAUGAUUUUGAUUCAUUUACAAUGAUUAUGUAACAUUUUGGCCUGCAUUUAAAAUACCUUUGGUUCUUGCCAUCUUCACAACUAUUUGUUUUGAUUCUAUAAAUUUUGUUCCAUACAGGUGGAGAUGAUACUCCAAGCUUUGGAAUAUGAAGUUGGUGAGAGAAAUUUUCAAUUCUAUUUUUCUUAAUAUCUUUUCAUUUUAUUAUUAUCAUAUACAGUCCUUGUAGAGUUGCUUGUCAAUUCUUCAAACAAUACAUAUUACAAUAUUGAUUGUCAAGGAAUUUAUGCAAGUGAUGCUAAAUUUAACGCAUGUUAAACUUUUGGCACCAUGGUCUUCCUGGAUUGGAUGAGUGGCCUCUAUAAUUAAGACAAGGUGGGUGGAGGGUUAGAGGUUGUGAUAACUGAUAAGUUUUAUCAUCUUUGGCAACAAGUUGACUAUUAUGGGCCAGUUUGUUUAAACUUAUUUGUUGAAAUAAGUGCUUAUUUUAAUAAAAUAAGCAACUUUAUGUUUUUUUACUGUUUGUUUAAACUGCCUCUGCUUAAGAAAAACAGUUUUCUGUUUAUUUUAAGAAGUAAAUCCUAUCUAUUUCUUAAAAAAACGCUUAUAUAAAAAGAACUUAUUUUAAAGUUGUUUUUUUUAAGUUUAAACAAACUCAGCCUAUAUAUAAUAUUCUAGCUAGGAUAUUUGUUGUGUAUAGGGUAUCUUUGGUGACAACUGAUAAAUUGUAUUACAAUAAGGAUGAUGAGGAUGAACAACUAUUAAACUGUGCAUUCAUAUUUUUACAAAUGUCUCUGUAAUCAGUAAUUUUAUGUCAUGGGCGUUUUUGGUAGAAUGGCAAAAAUAACGGUGUUAUCUACUAUGUCACGGUGUUCUUGCAUUUGGUUCGUCUCCUCUGUUAUCUACUCAUAUGACAAAUAUUGAUUUUGACUACUCAGUUGUAAUAUUCUAAUUUUGUAAAAGUGUGGUGUGGUAUGUAGAAGAAUGCCGGAUGCAUUCUCCUAGUUAAGAUUACUAACAAAAAUUACGUAAGAAGUACAACCUCAAUAAUUGUUUUAAAUUCCCGUACAUGAUGCAUUUAGAGUUUAAAAUUUAUACUAUGCUACAAACAUUGGAAUGAGUGGGGUAUUUUGGUGAUUGCUAUUUUCAUUUGUAGAUUUGUUUGUGUAAAAUCCAUAUGGUCUAGAUCUUCUGAAAUUUGUUCUCCCAUGACCUUUUGCAGAGCAGGGGAAGGAUCUGGAUGAAUUUUUCUGGUCAACUGCUGGUAUGGUUUUCUUCAAAGUGUGAUUUAUUAGUUUAUGUUCUGAAGUUGAAUGAUUGAGGCCAAUAUCGUGUUUGUUAACAAAAAGAAAUUCCACAUUAAUGAUUUCUUUACCUGCCCCUUCUUUUGUAUGUGUGGAACAACAUGGAUAAGCCUCAGUUAUCAGUAGUACAUGGUUGCUAACAUGAGAUGGAAUGUCACAUGACAUUUAAAAAUAUAGCUUUCAAAGUUCCUACUUGAUGUGGGGUUUGAUCCUAUGAAUUUGAUCUUAUUUUGUUCAGUUGGUAAAAGUUGAGCACUGAAGAGGUGCCUUGAAUUAGUUGAUCAUGUGUUGGAGGAUGGAUGAAUUGUUCACUUGUUUUUUGAUUCAUUUUUUUCCAUAAUUUCUUUUUUCACUUGUUUACAAAUUAUCAAUUAUCUACUUUUUAUGAUUUGAUAGUUUUGAUAAUGCAUUGAAGAAAAUUGUUACCCUUUUGCAGGGAAGUUCCAAACUGAAACUGGCAAAGCCUGGGCAUCAGAGAUAGUAUCGAGAAGGAAGAAUAAUAAAUAAACCUCCCAGUAUGGAUCUUCCUUUCAAUGGGAUAGGGAUAGGUGGGGCUGUAUUUGGUUUGUUGAUGUGGGUUUUAUGUUCUUUUGGUCACAUUGGCAUGAAUGGGCGUAAUAGAUGGUAGAGGGAUAAUAACAGCGGCAAGAUGGUACGGACCACCUAAGAAAAGAGAAAUUAAAGCUGUGCAUGAAGCAGCGUAUAGUGAAAUCCACUAGGAGAUUUAAUCUCACCAUAAUCAAAUUUGUUCAACUAUGUCUAACCAUCAUUAUUUAUUUAUCAUUCAAAUCAGUGGACUGAAACUAUUGUUGAACUUUAAAAAGAUAGAUUCCAUGAAUUUUUCUUGCUAUGGAAUAAAGCAGAUCUGGGAUCACUCUCUUCCCGUGUGCUGCAUAGAAGUAUUUUUCCCGAUAUUUAUACCCACAGUAUCUUACUUAUUUUUUUUAGAGGCACAGUAUCCUACUUUAAUAACAUCAGAAAAAGUCCAAUGAUCAAAUCAACAAAAUAUUAAAUUUAAGGCCAUGUUGACGGGAUGCUAAAAUAUUAAAGCCAUGCUAUUCCUUAUAACUAAAUCACGUUGAAUGAUCCCUCUUAUCAUUUCAAUAUAAUAUAAUAUUAUAUAAUAUAUCAUUAUAAAAAAUAGCUUUAUGUUUACCGAGAAAAUAUUUAAAUUUAGAUUAUAUUAAUAUAAGUAAUUAAUUACUGUUAACAAGAAUGCUAAAAAAUAAUAAUGUCUAUGGAAAGAGAAAUAUAAAUAGAAAAUAUUAUAAAAAGGAUAUAAAGAAAAUGUACUAUACAAAUUGGCAGUCUUUAUACUGCACUGGAAAAGGUUUUGAUUAAUACUUCUAAAUUUUCUUUGAAAUGGUUAUUAAAACUGUCCAAUUGACGAUACAUGUCAAUUCUAUGAAAUUUCUUUCACCCAUGGUAUCCUUUUUUCUUGUUCCUGUCGUUAGAUAAUUUGGUAACUUAAUUUAGUUUUAUCCUUAUCAUUUAAACAUGGGCCUCACUUUUUAAUAUGCAAUGUAAUUUUAUUUUAUAUUAUAAAUUAUAAUUUUUAGUUAGAAAAGUGAAGUUCUAAUUUUUUUUUUUAUUUUUUCGUAAAUACAAUUUCUUAUUACUUUUUCUUUAUUGAAAGAUGUAUUUUACACUAUUUUAUAAUUAAUUAAAAAAUAUUUCUCUCAAUUAUUUCAAACUAUCCUUAUUUUUAUAUUUUAUUUUUUCAUUGUUUAUUCAUUUUAAUUAAAAAUAAUUUUAUAUCACAAUUAAAAUUAUUUAUAAUAAAUAUAAAUAUAAUUUGUAUAGUUAAAAUUAUUUAUUAAUCAUAAACUAUAAUUAUAGUUAUAUAAUAAAUAUUUAUCUCGACAGAAAUAUUAGUUAUAUUAUCAAUCAAUGUUUUUCUUUUAAUUUUUCAAUUAACUUGGGUUUUUUUUAUCAGUUAAAGUUUUAGACAAAUAUAAAAAAAUUUACAACAAUUCACACGCUUUCUUCACCAAUUCAGCUUCCAUGGUUGAUUUCACUCCGUCCGUAUACAUUUUAAGAAAGUCUAGCCAAAUUGUUGUAAAUAUGUGAGUUGAACUGUUAUGAAUGAAAAAAUAAAUUCGGUCUAUACACAGAGUUGAGUCAUGAGUGUAUAACAUCAUUUUUCUACUUAGAUUUCUUAGCUGGUCCACAAAAACUAAAAUUCGUUGGGAAAGGCCGCGUAAAAGCAAGGUUGCUUUCCCCGCAGUUUGAGGCCACACACAAAAACUCAAUCGUAAAGCCAUUUCACUUCAACUUUGCAUUGCACGUAAAUCUCAAUCCAAAUCAAAUGGCCUCCCUUCGUAUUCGUAACCUUCUCCGUUUCUCCAUACACGUACGUAUAUGACUCAUUCUUCUUCAACGUUACAUUGUUGCUUAUCACUCAUUCUUCUAUUUCCUUCCUCGCAGGGGACGCUGCUUUCAUCUUCUCCACUUCGACCAGGUCUUUUCCUUUUCAUCACUUCAUUUAUUAUUAUUAUUAUUCCCUUUUUAAUCCGUUUUCAAACGUCCAUAGUAAUUAUUACUAUACUGCCUUCUACCUGUUUGUUUCUUUUUCUUCUGUAAACAAACGUUAGAAAUAGGAAAAAGAAAAAGACAAAAAUCGCGUUUAACGGCUACAUGAGAAACCGUUUAGCUGAGCCUUGUAUAGUGUAGGGUUUUCGGGAAGCUCUCGAAGCUACAGCGUCGUUGAAUCUUCGAAACAUUUUCUAUUGAAGUCCGACGAUGAGGAGAUAUUCGCUCUCCGUCGCAAAUUCGAAGCUGCCAAACAGAGUUUUCUCAGUAUUCCCGAUGCGCUCCGGGAAAUGCCCAAAAUGAAUCCUAAAGGUUCGUUAGAUGAUCGGUUCGCUUCAACUUGUUUUGAAAUUGCAUUGUUUCUGAAUGUUGAUCGUUUUUUUUUUUUUUUUUUUAUCUUUCUUAUGUGUAUUGGAUUAGGCAUAUAUGUGAAUAAGAACGUGAGAUUGGACCAAUUGCAAGUUUAUGGGUUCGACUAUGAUUACACAUUGGCGCAUUACUCGUCUGAUUUACAGACUUUGAUAUAUGACCUUGCCAAGGAGUACUUGGUUAAUGAGGUUAGCUCUGACAACACAGUCCUGCUUUAUGACUAUGGUUCCUUUCCUUACUCAUCUUGUUGCUCCUUUCAGCUUAGGUAUCCGGAGGUUUGCACGAGUUUUAAAUAUGAUCCAACUUUCCCCAUUAGAGGCCUAUACUAUGAUAAGUCAAAAGGGUGCCUCAUGAAGCUGGAUUUCUUUGGUUCAAUUGAGCCGGAUGGAUGCUUCUUUGGAAGACGCAGGGUAUGCGGCACUGAUUGUUUUUGUUUCAUUUGGCAGUUGCGUGCAUCUUAUUAGCUUCUAUUGUUUAUUUUCAUUUGGUUUUAAACUUUUUAUGGAGCGUCUCUGUGGUUCUAAUUAUCCACAUACAAUUGGAACUGUGUAAUGUUAGUUAGGGUUUUAUAGAUUGCAUAAGGACAAACUAAAUGCUAGUUUGUCAGUCAGCAUAGUUUGUCUGUUGUUACAGAAAUGAAAAUAGUGCCAGUAAAAUAGUGUUUAUAACAAUUUCUUUCUUUUGUAUAAUUUUACAGCUAAGCCAUACAGAAAUACGUGACAUAUAUGGCACGCGGCAUAUUGGUCGUGAUCAUGCUCGAUCACUUGUUGGUUUGAUGGAUUUCUUCUGCUUCAGUGAGGUUAGUUCCCUGUUGUCCUGUCAUUCAAUAAUAACUUCUGCUUUUGUGAUGUGCAACGUUGGAGCUUUGCCUCAGUGAACUGUUAUGCAGUGUGUCUUGUACUCUUCAUAUGUCAAAGAAGAUUAUUGUUAUCCUGAGUAUGCAUGUCAUAAAGUUACACAAAUAAUUGACUACCAUCCACAUAUCGCCUUC
This 13858-nucleotide long non-coding RNA is filed under the name Glycine max (soybean). RNAcentral describes it as "long non-coding RNA (GMAX_LNC003839)". The record is from RNAcentral. Lineage: Eukaryota; Viridiplantae; Streptophyta; Magnoliopsida; Fabales; Fabaceae.